CCUACGGGCGGCAGCAGUGGGGAAUAUUGGACAAUGGGGGGAACCCUGAUCCAGCCAUGCCGCGUGUGUGAAGAAGGCCCUCGGGUUGUAAAGCACUUUCAGUGAGGAAGAACGCCUGGUGGUUAAUACCCAUCAGGAAAGACAUCACUCACAGAAGAAGCACCGGCUAACUCCGUGCCAGCAGCCGCGGUAAUACGGAGGGUGCGAGCGUUAAUCGGAAUUACUGGGCGUAAAGCGCGCGUAGGUGGCUUGAUAAGCCGGUUGUGAAAGCCCGGGCUCAACCUGGGAACGGCAUCCGGAACUGUCAAGCUAGAGUGCAGGAGAGGAAGGUAGAAUUCCCGGUGUAGCGGUGAAAUGCGUAGAGAUCGGGAGGAAUACCAGUGGCGAAGGCGGCCUUCUGGACUGACACUGACACUGAGGUGCGAAAGCGUGGGUAGCAAACAGGAUUAGAUACCCGGGUAGUC
RNAcentral lists this ribosomal RNA (464 nucleotides) under Vreelandella stevensii. Its description in RNAcentral is "partial 16S ribosomal RNA". It matches the Rfam family "Bacterial small subunit ribosomal RNA", at positions 338 to 795 of the family's 1533-position model. The record is from RNAcentral. Lineage: Bacteria; Pseudomonadati; Pseudomonadota; Gammaproteobacteria; Oceanospirillales; Halomonadaceae.